CCUACGGGAGGCAGCAGUGGGGAAUUUUGGACAAUGGGCGCAAGCCUGAUCCAGCAAUGCCGCGUGAGUGAAGAAGGCCUUCGGGUUGUAAAGCUCUUUUGUCAGGGAAGAAACGGUGAAGGCUAAUAUCCUUUGCUAAUGACGGUACCUGAAGAAUAAGCACCGGCUAACUACGUGCCAGCAGCCGCGGUAAUACGUAGGGUGCAAGCGUUAAUCGGAAUUACUGGGCGUAAAGCGUGCGCAGGCGGUUUUGUAAGUUUGUCGUGAAAUCCCCGGGCUCAACCUGGGAAUGGCGAUGAAGACUGCAAGGCUAGAAUCUGGCAGAGGGGGGUAGAAUUCCACGUGUAGCAGUGAAAUGCGUAGAGAUGUGGAGGAACACCGAUGGCGAAGGCAGCCCCCUGGGUCAAGAUUGACGCUCAUGCACGAAAGCGUGGGGAGCAAACAGGAUUAGAUACCCUGGUAGUCCACGCCCUAAACGAUGUCUACUAGUUGUCGGGUUUUAAUAACUUGGUAACGCAGCUAACGCGUGAAGUAGACCGCCUGGGGAUACGGUCGCAAGNUUAAAACUCAAAGNUAGUCGGNGNGNGAGAGCGACGACGACGACGACGAGGAGGAG
This 616-nucleotide ribosomal RNA is filed under the name uncultured bacterium. RNAcentral describes it as "bacterial SSU rRNA". It matches the Rfam family "Bacterial small subunit ribosomal RNA", at positions 338 to 949 of the family's 1533-position model. The record is from RNAcentral.